Molecule: ribosomal RNA, 254 nt
Filed under: uncultured soil bacterium
Lineage: Bacteria
Description: partial 16S ribosomal RNA
Rfam family: Bacterial small subunit ribosomal RNA
Source: RNAcentral
AGGACGAACGCUGGCGGCGUGCUUAACACAUGCAAGUCGAACGGUGAAGCACCUUCGGGUGUGGAUCAGUGGCGAACGGGUGAGUAACACGUGGGCAACCUGCCCCUGACUUCGGAAUAACUUCGGGAAACCGAAGCUAAUACCGGAUACGACCUCGAGCGGCAUCGCUCGUGGUGGAAAGGUUUUCGGUCAGGGAUGGGCCCGCGGCCUAUCAGCUUGUUGGUGGGUAACGGCCUACCAAGGCGACUACGGGU